GAUGAACGCUGGCGGCGUGCCUAAUACAUGCAAGUCGAGCGAACGGACGAGAAGCUUGCUUUUCUGAUGUUAGCGGCGGACGGGUGAGUAACACGUGGAUAACCUACCUAUAAGACUGGGAUAACUUCGGGAAACCGGAGCUAAUACCGGAUAAUAUUUUGAACCGCAUGGUUCAAAAGUGAAAGACGGUCUUGCUGUCACUUAUAGAUGGAUCCACGCUGCAUUAGCUAGUUGGUAAGGUAACGGCUUACCAAGGCAACGAUGCAUAGCCGACCUGAGAGGGUGAUCGGACACACUGGAACUGAGACACCGUCCAGAGUCCUACGGGAGGCAGCAGUAGGGAAUCUACCACGAUGAGCGAAAGCCUGACGGAGCAACGCCGCGUGAGUGAUGAAGGUCUUCGGAUCGUAAAACUCUGUUAUUAGGGAAGAACAUAUGUGUAAGUAACUGUGCUCAUCUUGACGGUACCUAAUCAGAAAGCCACGGCUAACUACGUG
RNAcentral lists this ribosomal RNA (497 nucleotides) under uncultured bacterium. Its description in RNAcentral is "partial 16S ribosomal RNA". It matches the Rfam family "Bacterial small subunit ribosomal RNA", at positions 28 to 507 of the family's 1533-position model. The record is from RNAcentral.